RNAcentral lists this ribosomal RNA (630 nucleotides) under bacterium SCSIO13240. RNAcentral's name for it is "bacterial SSU rRNA". It matches the Rfam family "Bacterial small subunit ribosomal RNA", at positions 62 to 710 of the family's 1533-position model. The record is from RNAcentral.
UCGACGGUAAGGCCCUUCCGGGUACACGAAUGGCGAACGGGUGAAUAACACGUGGGUGAUCUGCCCUGCACUUCCGGAUAAGCCCGGGAAACUGGGUCUAAUACCGGAUAGGACUGCCCGGUGCAUGCCGUGUGGUGGAAAGAUUUAUCGGUGCAGGAUGGGCCCGCGGCCUAUCAACUUGUUGGUGGGGUAAUGGCCUACCAAGGCGACCACCGGUAACCGGCCUGAAAAGGCGACCGGCCACACUGGGACUGAAACACCGCCCAAACUCCUACCGGAGGCAGCAAUGGGGAAUAUUGCACAAUGGGCGCAAGCCUGAUGCAACCACCCCCCGUGAGGGAUGAAGGCCUUCGGGUUGUAAACCUCUUUCAACAAGGACCAAACCUGAGUGACGGUACCUGCAAAAAAAGCACCGGCCAACUACCUGCCAACAGCCGCGGUAAUACCUAAGGUGCAAGCGUUGUCCGGAAUUACUGGGCGUAAAGAGCUCGUAAGCGGUUUGUCCCGUCCUCUGUGAAAACCAACAACUCAACUGUUGGCUUGCAAGCGAUACCGGCAGACUUGAGUAUUUCAGGGGAGACUGGAAUUCCUGGUGUAACGGUGAAAUGCCCAAAUAUCAAGAAGAACACC